This 337-nucleotide long non-coding RNA is filed under the name Medicago truncatula (barrel medic). Its description in RNAcentral is "long non-coding RNA (MTRU_LNC004842)". The record is from RNAcentral. Lineage: Eukaryota; Viridiplantae; Streptophyta; Magnoliopsida; Fabales; Fabaceae.
GGCCGGCCCUGGGGAGGUGCAAACAGCUCUACAGAGCUGGGCCUCCCCAAUUUUGGGGCCCAAAAUAUUUUUUUUUUUAAUAUAUAACGCAUUGAAAUUUUAAUAUAUAGGCAUAGCAUAGAAUUUUUACAAACUAAAUGUUGUGGCCUAGCGGUUAACUGUGGUAGUGUAGUGCUUUUUGUCUGCGGUUCAACUCCCAUAUAUGGCAAAUGUCAUUUUUUUUUAAUUGUAUUAUUCUUUUAUCUCUUUUGGGCAUAAUUUUAAUGGAUUUGAGGUCUAUAUUUCAUCAAUACUUUCUCUUCUCCUUCCAAUUCAAUUCACUUCUUUUGCAAAGCUG